Molecule: ribosomal RNA, 521 nt
Filed under: uncultured bacterium
Lineage: Bacteria
Description: bacterial SSU rRNA
Rfam family: Bacterial small subunit ribosomal RNA
Source: RNAcentral
AAUAGAUACCCAGGUAGUCCACGCCGUAAACGAUGGAUACUAGCUGUUUGAGCGCAGGUUUGAGUGGCUAAGCGAAAGUGAUAAGUAUCCCACCUGGGGAGUACGGGCGCAAGCCUGAAACUCAAAGGAAUUGACGGGGGCCCGCACAAGCGGUGGAGCAUGUGGUUUAAUUCGAUGAUACGCGAGGAACCUUACCAGGGCUUAAAUGUAGAUUGACGUAUUUGGAAACAGAUAUUUCUUCGGACAAUUUACAAGGUGCUGCAUGGUUGUCGUCAGCUCGUGCCGUGAGGUGUCAGGUUAAGUCCUAUAACGAGCGCAACCCCUGUUGUUAGUUGCCAGCGAGUAAUGUCGGGAACUCUAGCAAGACUGCCAGUGUAAACUGUGAGGAAGGUGGGGAUGACGUCAAAUCAUCACGGCCCUUACGUCCUGGGCCACACACGUGCUACAAUGGCCGGUACAGAGAGCAGCCACUUAGCGAUAAGGAGCGAAUCUAUAAAGCCGGUCACAGUUCGGAUCGGAGU